Molecule: ribosomal RNA, 508 nt
Filed under: uncultured bacterium
Lineage: Bacteria
Description: partial 16S ribosomal RNA
Rfam family: Bacterial small subunit ribosomal RNA
Source: RNAcentral
AUUGAACGCUGGCGGCAGGCCUAACACAUGCAAGUCGAGCGGCAGCGGGAAAGUAGCUUGCUACUUUUGCCGGCGAGCGGCGGACGGGUGAGUAAUGCCUGGGAAAUUGCCCAGUCGAGGGGGAUAACAGUUGGAAACGACUGCUAAUACCGCAUUCGCCCUACGGGGGAAAGCAGGGGACCUUCGGGCCUUGCGCGAUUGGAUAUGCCCAGGUGGGAUUAGCUAGUUGGUGAGGUAAUGGCUCACCAAGGAGACGAUCCCUAGCUGGUCUGAGAGGAUGAUCAGCCACACUGGACCUGAGACACGGUCCAGACUCCUACGGGAGGCAGCAGUGGGGAAUAUUGCACAAUGGGGGAAACCCUGAUGCAGCCAUGCCGCGUGUGUGAAGAAGGCCUUCGGGUUGUAAAGCACUUUCAGCGAGGAGGAAAGGUUGAUGCCUAAUACGUAUCAACUGUGACGUUACUCGCAGAAGAAGCACCGGCUAACUCCGUGCCAGCCGCCGCAGUAA